This 601-nucleotide ribosomal RNA is filed under the name gamma proteobacterium LLT1. RNAcentral describes it as "bacterial SSU rRNA". It matches the Rfam family "Bacterial small subunit ribosomal RNA", at positions 20 to 617 of the family's 1533-position model. Lineage: Bacteria; Pseudomonadati; Pseudomonadota; Gammaproteobacteria. The record is from RNAcentral.
UGGCUCAGAUUGAACGCUGGCGGCAGGCCUAACACAUGCAAGUCGAGCGUAGAGAGAAGCUUGCUUCUCUUGAGAGCGGCGGACGGGUGAGUAAUGCCUAGGAAUCUGCCUGGUAGUGGGGGAUAACGUUCGGAAACGGACGCUAAUACCGCAUACGUCCUACGGGAGAAAGCAGGGGACCUUCGGGCCUUGCGCUAUCAGAUGAGCCUAGGUCGGAUUAGCUAGUUGGUGAGGUAAUGGCUCACCAAGGCGACGAUCCGUAACUGGUCUGAGAGGAUGAUCAGUCACACUGGAACUGAGACACGGUCCAGACUCCUACGGGAGGCAGCAGUGGGGAAUAUUGGACAAUGGGCGAAAGCCUGAUCCAGCCAUGCCGCGUGUGUGAAGAAGGUCUUCGGAUUGUAAAGCACUUUAAGUUGGGAGGAAGGGCAUUAACCUAAUACGUUAGUGUUUUGACGUUACCGACAGAAUAAGCACCGGCUAACUCUGUGCCAGCAGCCGCGGUAAUACAGAGGGUGCAAGCGUUAAUCGGAAUUACUGGGCGUAAAGCGCGCGUAGGUGGUUUGUUAAGUUGGAUGUGAAAUCCCCGGGCUCAACCUGG